GACGAACGCUGGCGGCGUGCUUAACACAUGCAAGUCGAACGGGCUGGCUCUGGUUUUUUGCUGGGGUUGGUUAGUGGCGAACGGGUGAGUAACACGUGAGUAACCUGCCCUCUUCUCCUGGAUAACUGCUUGAAAGGGCGGCUAAUACGGGGUGGUCUGGCCUGCCUGCAUGGGUGGGUUGGUAUAGGUUCAACUUUGGUUGUUCUGGUGGGGGAUGGGCUCGCGGCUUAUCAGCUUGUUGGUGGGGUGAUGGCUUACCAAGGCUUUGACGGGUAGCCGGCCUGAGAGGGUGGACGGUCACACUGGGACUGAGAUACGGCCCAGACUCCUGCGGGAGGCAGCAGUGGGGAAUAUUGCACAAUGGGCGGAAGCCUGAUGCAGCGACGUCGCGUGAGGGAUGGAGGCCUUCGGGUUGUGAACCUCUUUUUCCGGUGGUGAAGGCCUGCCUCGUUUGUGGGUGGGUUGACGGUAGCCGGGUUAGGAAGCGCCGGCUAACUACGUG
This 502-nucleotide ribosomal RNA is filed under the name uncultured bacterium. RNAcentral's name for it is "bacterial SSU rRNA". It matches the Rfam family "Bacterial small subunit ribosomal RNA", at positions 28 to 507 of the family's 1533-position model. The record is from RNAcentral.